Long non-coding RNA from Haplochromis burtoni (Burton's mouthbrooder), 5880 nucleotides. RefSeq lists it as uncharacterized. NCBI's taxonomy places the organism in Eukaryota, Metazoa, Chordata, Actinopteri, Cichliformes, Cichlidae. The record is from RefSeq and is a predicted model, not a curated record. The transcript has 3 exons.
CCGGUUCGUCAAGCUGGUGCUCCUCCCACUCUGUUAUCUGCAUUAAGGAGGACACUGGAACCUCUAAACUCUGAAUCCAAAGAAAGCUCAUUUCAUAUGUUAAAUCUUUUGUUAGUGUAGGGCUCACCUCUGAGGGGGUCAUGCAGUCUUCCACCUCGGUAGAGUCCUAAAAAGCCAAAAUUCAGUUAUUCAUUCAUUGCUUCAACAAACAGAUUUAUACAAAGUAAAUGUUCAAAACGCAACACCUGAUUGAAAACCUAGUAUACAUGUGUUUGCUUCAGUGUAGUAUGGUAAAGACACAGGCUGUAAACCAGUGCAGCAUUUAUAUCUACCAGUCUAUGAGAAUACGAGGCUGAAGGAAAACUUUGGUUUAUUGAUCUCUGUGCAGCCAGAAUCCCGAAAAUUACACUGACAACAACAAUAAAACUCUGAGAAUCAACCACCUUUAAAUAAAAAACACACACACAGUCGCACAGACCAGGCAUUCAGACCCGAGUGAAAGCUGAUGAAACACUGACAGACAUUCACACCUCACACCUCUCUAAAACACACACACUUUCUCUCGCUCUCUCUGCUAAAGCACUCUAAUGCUCUGGUUUGUGCACCACAAAUAUUUUGGUCCAGCACUCACUACGUGUGUGUCGCAAGGCAACGGUUACUAAGCAACAGUCUCUAGGCGGCAGACAAUCUUACCGCCAUGGAGAUCCUCACACGUUUGGGCUUGGGCUUUCUUUUUUCAGAAGGAGCCGGCCCAGCCGGGCUCUUCCAGCCGGGGAGAGAAGGCAUCAACACAGCACAACAUUAACACAGCGUCAGUGGAAGCGGACAGUUUUUCCCCUUUAACAUCGCGCCACUGCAACAUUGGAGCCCAGUCUGACUUCUGCUGGGAGAAGUCUUUGUGAUGAGAGCACAAUGUUGCUGAAAGGGUAUAAUUACUACACCACAGAUGGAGGUGAGGGCACAGAAGCUGUACAAGAAGCCCAACGGUUAAUACAAUAUGAUGCACUGCCAGAAAAAAGGAGCUUGAACAUCUUAUAUUUUAGUAUUUUAAUAUCUCGUGUCAUCCCUUUAGGAGCUUUGCAGCUGAGAGCAAAUGUCUUAUUCAAUCAGCUUCUUUAAUGAACAAAUGGCUGCUACUUCAAAUGGUUGGAUAAAAAAAAAGAAAAGACUUUAUCCCAUUUUUGUGAGUUUUUGAGACUUUUACAUCAUCGCCAUCAUUUUAUUUGGCAAAAAAUUGUCAGAAGAUUCAAUAAAGUUUUUUAUUUUCAAAGUAACUUGAAUUUUCUGGCAAUUAUUUCAGGGUUCAGAUACUAUGGUUACAUUUGUCAACACAACCUGCCUAUUAGGGCCUACAUGAGGGUCAGUCAAGUGUCUCUACAAAAGGUUGUGGUUUUUUUUUUGUAAUACCUGUUCUACAUUUCUUUUCUUUGUCCAUCCGUGCAUCUGUAUUUUAAAUGUUUAUCCGAUUUAGUGUCACAGGAAGGCUGGAGCCUACCGUCUUGGUCCGAGCGGAAGGCUACAGUGUGGACAGGCUGCCAGCCUCUAAGGUGAGUAACAUAAUAACAAAGAUAUGACACUGAGGUCAGUUUUUUCCACUUUUUGGGUUUUUUUCUGGGGGCAAUGCUAAUUUUUAAUCUACAAUCAUAAUUUCUAAUUUUGAAAUGUGCAAAUCUCAUACACCCAAAUUUUAUUCACAACACAGAAAAUACAUCAAAUGUUUAAAUUGAGGAACACUUCCCAAACAGCAAAGAAGAAGCCAUAUGUGGACAUGAUCCCAAACUGCUGCUGUCUCCUCUGAACCAAAGCUCAUUUAAAAUGGACUCAGACAAAGUGGAAAAAAGUGAUCAUACGAUUUGAAAUUGGAAAUUAUUUUUGGAAGACGUGAACCCAGCUAUCAGCUCUCAAUUCAAACCUCUGCAUUUCUGAUGGUAUUGAGGUGCCUUAGAGCUGAUGUACAACUCGUACAUAUCAAGGUUUGUACAGAUUUUAGAGCAACAUCUAGAUGAGGGUUUGAGGGAAGGCCUUAAAUAUUUCAGUAAUUCAAUGCUCAACUGCAUCCUGCAUGUAUUACAACUUUAUAGUAGAAGAGUCUGAGUGCUGAAUUGAUCUGCCUGAUGUCAGACAGUUAAAUAUGAUAUAGAAGAUGCAGGACUGUUGAGAAUCUGGAAUCUUCAAUCAGACACGAAUGGGACAACACUUGUAAAAUCGUCCUGCAGCUGAUCUCCUCACUUCUCAGAUGUUUACAGACUGUUGUUAAAAGAAGAGAGGAUGCUGCACAGUGGAAAACGUGACUCUGUCCCAACUUUUUUGAGAUGUGUUGCUGCCUUCAAAUUCAAAAUAAACCAAUAUUUUUAUUAAAAUGGUAAAUUGUCUUAGUUUAAGCCUCUGAUAUGUUUUUGUUGAGAAUAAAAUAUGGGAUUAUGAGAUUUGCAAAUAUUUUGAAUAAAGGUUGUAAUUCAGCUUUGCUCUAUGCUUUAAACUUCCAGGAGCGUGUUCAAUAUUACUUAUUUUGACCAGUCCAAAACCAAAAAUGUUUCAUUUCCAGAACAGUAGAAACAGCUUGAUCCUUUAUGUGUGAACCGACUGAAAUAUUUAAACCCAAAACCAUCAGGUUGACACGUUUUAUAUCUCUGAUUGAUCUACACCCGAUUUUUAAAAAGAAUUGCGCAUUUGAACAGCGUUUGGCAGCACAGCAGUGGCUGAGGACUGAACUGUGCUGAAAGGUGUUGAAAAGAGAUAAGAAACAUUUUUUUAAACCACACUGCAUGACGCCAUGACCGCUUUAAAUAAAACUAAAAAAAAGAAAAGAAAAAAGAAAUGCUAAAAUGUAGGAUGUUAAAAAAAACCCGUUUGACCAGCAGUGGAUGUGCUGUGCGGUGAGGGUGCAAUGAUUCAUAGACGUUUUAUACAAAAAGCUUCGACCACAGCAUGAGAUUACACAGGAAAACCCUGCUGUCUGUGGGUGGAUCCUGCCUGUCAGCAGCAGGAGGACGACGAGGUGGACGAUAUAUGUGAGGACUGAGAGAGCGCACACAUCCCCGCUCGUACAGUGCAUGUCGCACUCUUAAAGGACACUCGCACUCAUGCAUCUAUAACAUCUCUGCUUCUCCUCACCUCCAGCAGCUCCUUGUCUUGGUCAGCACAGGAAAGGGUCUGAGAGCCUCAGAGAGGGGACAAAAAAAAAGGGCAGAUUUAAGAGGAAGCUGAACAUUGGAAACCACUGGGCUGAAGGAUGAAGACUCCUCUGUGGAGAUCUACACGGAAAAUACAUUAACGCAGGAAAAAAAGGACAAAAACAAAAACGAGGGAGACACACAAAGGACGAAUACACAUGCACGUAAACGAACAGGACAGCACAGGUAAGGGCACAGACGACAGAGACACAGAAGACACAUUUUAAUGUUAAAAUACAAAUGAAGUACAUUCACACAGCUUGUAAGCACUUACCACAACAGCUGUCCAAAAACUCCAUCUGUGCCUUUACCUACUGCUACAUGCUUCACACAUGCUGAUCCACUUUUAGUCUACUGCUACAACCCCAACCCAAUCCAGACUUCGCCCCAGCCCAGCCCUGGCGCCCCCGGACGCCUCACACCUGUUGAGUGCUCACCAAGAAGCGGACCGCUUGGCGAGCACUGGAAUUGGUCGAGGAGUUGAGAUCCCGAUAGGAAGAGUUAAGAGUGAUGUAGCGCACAUCUCUGACCAUGAUGUCCUCCACACGGAUAUUAUACUUCCUGAAACAUGGAGGAGAAGAUAGAGGUUAAUGAGACACCUGCAAACAUAAGGGAAGGAAAUGAACGGGAAGAUAAGCGAAAGGAAGAUGAAGAGGAAAUGGAAUAAAAAAAGUGAAAAAAGGUGCAGAAUCACUGGAAAAUAGGAAAGCAGCAUCAGCAUCAGCCGACUCACUCAUGAUGUCCCAUCCCCAGCUCAGGCAGAUAAGGGAGCUUCUUGAUGCGAAUGAUGGAGUCGUACAGCGAUGGUUGGAGCGCCUGGGCCACGGCGUUGGCCAGGAUCACAGCGAUCAUCACAGGCAGGAUGUGUGAGAUCUGACCGGUCAGCUCGAACACUAUGACCGCUGUGGAUACAGUGUGGGUGACCGCUCCAGACAGAGCAGCAGCACCUGUGAAUGAAGGGAAAAUCUUUUAUAUCUGUCAGUCUCCUUGAAGCCAUUUACAUGGAGCAAAAUGGCAAAGAUGGAGUGUCUGAUCCACAGAAAAAGUUUAAAUUUACAUGUAUAUACAGAAUAUAAGGCAAAAUCUGAGUUUAUACAAUUCUAAUGAGAGUCAAUUGUAAUAAUGAGUCAACAUUUUGUGUGAACACCUUUCUUCUUCAUCAUAGCCUGAACUCUCUUAGGCAAGCCUUUUGUAAUUUUUAAAACAGGAACAGCUUUUAAGGCUUCCUGAAGGGCAUUUAAAGCUCUUCUUUGAAUGUUGGCUGCCUUUUAUUUUGCUCUCUGUCAAGAUGAUCUCACACCAUUUCUACAAUGUUGAGUUCUACUGUGUGUUUUUCCAUCAGGUAUGAUUUUAUUGUACUGGCAGUGUGUUUGGGAUCGUUUUCAUGCUAAAAAAUAAACCUGUCAGACGCAGCACUAAAUCAUGACAGUGCCUCCAGAUGGCUUCAGACACACUGUGUUGUAUCACUUUCCUGACUUUCACCAUACAUAUAUUCAAAUCUGGGUUCAUCACUCCAUAAUACCUGAUUUUUCAGUAAAGUUGCUCUGUAAUUUUGCAUACCUCAGCCUUUUCUCUCCAUUUCCUUUCCUCAAGAAUGGCUACUUGACAGCCAUCCUUCCACUGAGACCAUUUCUAAUGAGCCUUCAGUGAACAGCAGAUGGAUCACCCAAAGAGUCAGAUGCAUCUCUCAGGUCCUGUGACAGAUGUUUGCUGGAUCUUUUCCUAUUUUCAGAGACUGUUCAUCUGCUGUAGAUUUUUUUGCGCCUGCCACUACUUCCCUUUUUUCUCAACUUGUCCAGCUUCCUUUUAUGGACACACUUAUGGUGAGAUAUGCCAAAUUUUCAGGCAAUAGCUCUUUGGGAAUCACCCUGUUUGAGCAAAAUUACUAUGCUAUAGCUAUCAAACGCAGUUAGUUUGGGAAUUUAUCACGGAACUAAAUAAACUAACUAAAAAAAUUGUUUUUUUCUUGUUUUCCUAGUAAUAAAAUGCCUAUAGAGACUAUUUAAAUUUGAUUCUUUGAUAAAUUGUCUGUUACCUUUAGACAGAAAAUGAGUUCAUUCAUUGAGUUAGCUACUUUGUUUAACGCUUGAAUGAAUCAUAGGUCAAUGUUAAGCGAAAAAACAACCCCAAAACAAUCCUCACAGUCAGGUACAAGGACUGGACUGAAAAUGAGGGUAAAAGCCGAAAUCCAAAGAAAAACAGAAACUUGGAGAACUAUUGCUCAAGACAACUUUUUUUUAAAAAUGGCAUAAAAGUCUGGCUGCUGGGAAGUGAAACGUAAAGAAAUGAUGGGUGGCUUAAAACUUUUGCUCAGUACUGCUAAUUGUACAAAAAUUUAAACAGCAAAUUGAAACACUCAGCAAUUAAUCUUUCUGCUGCUCUCCCCAACACUGGCUUUGUACGUCCCAGAACAGAGUCAUAGUACAAGUAAUAUUAGAAACAAUCUUCUGACCAAACUGAUAAAGUAGUAAAAACAGUGACGACUUUUCCAGCUGUGAUACAUUCUAAUACUACAGGAUCCCCACAAAAAGAAACUAUGUAAUUAAUCUAAUUAAAUCUCAAAACAAACAUCAAUAUAGAAAUAGAGUCACUCACCAACUACAGCAUAACCACCAGGAACUAUGGGAUACACGCUGCCUGCAGCAUGUAUACCAUCAGGAAACAUGGUUGCCAUGAUCUCACCAACAAGUCUGCCAAAGGCUGCACC